UUCAGGAUGGAAACGCUGAUCUUGCUACUGCUGAAAUUCCCAUCCAUGCAGAAAGGGAGGGAGGAAACAUCACAGUUGGCUGUUCAUUUUCUUUGUCUGGAAGCUUGAGGCUCUUCUGUAAGGAAAAAUGUGAACAAGGAAAAAUUCUCAUUGAUACAACAGAGGACACAGCUCAACGAGGCAGAUACAGCAUUGAAUAUAAAGAAGGAAGCUUUCUAGGAACUAAGACAAUUAUGUAUGCGAGCAUCACAAAGCUGGAAGUGUCUGACUCGGGAGUGUACAGGUGCUCUUUGGGCAGAAUGGGUGUAGAUUUUUUUGAUUCAAACUAUGAAUUUCAGAUCUCUGUCAAAGAAGCCUCCACACCAACAAUGAAGAUGACACCAGAGAGUUCAAUCUCCACUGCUACAUCAGUUGAAGGAUUCCACUGAAGCUUUCCACCACUUUCCCACCCAACCUGCAAGUUCAGAUCUGCUGCUAUACACGGGUCUGUUUGUGAUUGUCCUGAUCGCCUUCUUAUCAGCAGCUUUGCUGAUUUUCUGCAAGAGGAGAGCCACUAAACCCAUAAGACCUCCAGUAGAAAAUGUGUACUCCAGCAUCAUAGAUGACAACCAGCUGUAUGAAGAGAUCAGAGAGGAGACAUUUCCACCUCCUGUGGAAAUGUCUACAGUUUACACCACUGCCACACGCCCCCAGCCAGAUGGAGUUGAAAGCUCAGAUGACUAAAGCAUCGCCACUUAGAACUUAAAACGGUGUGCUCUCUAAGCGAAGUGCUCUGCCGUGUUCACAAAUGAAGAUUUGACGUACCACAGCAUCAAUCCAGGGACCGGAACGAAACCUACGCUACACUCACAGAGAUAUCAAAUCUAAAUUACAUAUUGUCUGUGUGUGCCAGCUCAUGCAUGCUUUAAAACAACUCUAAUGACAUGAUGAAUGAGAUGGAUAGGAAAGAUAUACUAAGGAAUAAAGCUAAAAGGAAACAUAUGAGUUAAAAUGGUUAAGUUGUUGUGAUAACUACUCACGAAUGAACCAGCUAAUGUAAAGUAUAGUAAUAUAAUUAUUAUUUGAGACUAUGAUGUUCAAAAAAAUCAAAGGAAAGGAAAUGAACUUAUAAACUUGUAUUAUAAACUUAUAAUUUAUCUAUGGACAUAUAGGAAGGACCAAAUAAAAAAUAUGUAACUAAAACAAGUCAACAACAAAGGAAA
This is a non-coding RNA of Maylandia zebra (zebra mbuna), 1202 nucleotides long. The record is from RefSeq and is a predicted model, not a curated record. Lineage: Eukaryota; Metazoa; Chordata; Actinopteri; Cichliformes; Cichlidae.